UACGUAGGGUGCGAGCGUUGUCCGGAAUUAUUGGGCGUAAAGAGCUCGUAGGCGGUCUGUCGCGUCGGUCGUGAAAACUUGGGGCUUAACUCUGAGCUUGCGGUCGAUACGGGCAUGACUGGAGUUCGGCAGGGGAGACUGGAAUUCCUGGUGUAGCGGUGAAAUGCGCAGAUAUCAGGAGGAACACCGGUGGCGAAGGCGGGUCUCUGGGCCGAUACUGACGCUGAGGAGCGAAAGCGUGGGGAGCGAA
Molecule: ribosomal RNA, 250 nt
Filed under: uncultured Pseudonocardia sp.
Lineage: Bacteria; Bacillati; Actinomycetota; Actinomycetes; Pseudonocardiales; Pseudonocardiaceae
Description: partial 16S ribosomal RNA
Rfam family: Bacterial small subunit ribosomal RNA
Source: RNAcentral